UGCCUGUGGAAUAAAGAAAAAAGAACAUAAAAUUUUUGCUCUCAGAAAUCGACAAACGCCGGUGACGGUGUGACGGUGGUGAGAUUCCGGUAAACAGCCUGGGUCUUUUCUUCCUCUUUCUAAAUCUUCAAGUAUUUUCAUUUUAAUUUGUUUUCUUAUUGAUGCAUCUUAGUUUAGUUUGUUAUUCGCUCUCAGAAAUCGACAAACGCCGGUGACGGUGGUGAGAUUCCGGUAAACAGCCUGGGUCUUUUCUUCCUCUUUCUAAAUCUUCAAGUAUUUUCAUUUUAAUUUGUUUUCUUAUUGAUGCAUCUUAGUUUAGUUUGUUAUUCGCUCUCAGAAAUCGACAAACGCCGGUGACGGUGGUGAGAUUCCGGUAAACAGCCUGGGUCUUUUCUUCCUCUUUCUAAAUCUUCAAGUAUUUUCAUUUUAAUUUGUUUUCUUAUUGAUGCAUCUUAGUUUAGUUUGUUAUUCGCUCUCAGAAAUCGACAAACGCCGGUGACGGUGGUGAGAUUCCGGUAAACAGCCUGGGUCUUUUCUUCCUCUUUCUAAAUCUUCAAGUAUUUUCAUUUUAAUUUGUUUUCUUAUUGAUGCAUCUUAGUUUAGUUUGUUAUUCGCUCUCAGAAAUCGACAAACGCCGGUGACGGUGGUGAGAUUCCGGUAAACAGCCUGGGUCUUUUCUUCCUCUUUCUAAAUCUUCAAGUAUUUUCAUUUUAAUUUGUUUUCUUAUUGAUGCAUCUUAGUGGUUAUUCAAAUUUACAAAACACAUAGUUAGUUCAAAUUUUCUUGAUUUGACUCCUCUCCUUUUGUUUAGUUUUUAUGCAUUAUGCAAUCAAUAUUAUAAGUGAGCUCAUUGAAUUUACAUUGUUGGCAUAGAUGAUGCAUAAUCAAGGAUAGGGAAUUAAAUAUUUUAUUUUUUCCUAAUUCAAAAGAUUUUUCUCACACGUUCCAAAUUGAACUUUCUUCCCCCAUUCACUUCUCUUAUUUGUAUCAACAUUCAAACCACAAAUUUCUUAGAUGUUGCGAUGUUAUCUAAGUCAGGUAUGUGUUAUCAUUUGUCAUUUUUUUUGUUGAUUUUAUGGAUUAAGCUGUAGAAAUGAGUUGAUUUUUGCUGUAUUAUGGUUAAUUAUUGAUUAAUUAUUUGAAUGUGUGGAUUUGUUUGGAUGGUUGUUGAUUUUUAUGUGAAUUUCAUAUCUGAAACAUGGUGUUGCAUGUGUGAUGGUAUGUGAAAAUUGGGGGUUUUGGUGGAGAGUGUUUGAAUUAAGGAAUUCUAAUGGAAAUUAGUGUAGAAAAGGGAAUAAUCACCUUAGAUGAAGAGAGUGGUAAGAGGAGUAAUCACCUUAGAUGGAAAAAAGUGUUGGUUUAAGGUAGUCCACAUUGAAGAUGAACCAAUUGUUCAGUAUGAAUAGAUUUAGUUUAGUUCUAACUUCACUACAAUCACUAUCUUACCAUCAGAUCGCUAAUCGCUGAACGAAAGGGCAUCUUCUUCAUUCUACAUUCUAAAUUCAUUCAAUUCGUAAUUUAUUUCCACUAAUUAUAUCUCCACAUUUUCAAUUUUCUUUUGAAUGUUUUUUUUUAAGAUUAGGGCUUUUGUUCGAGAGAUCAAAUUGGCGUAUAGUCCAAAAUUCUUAUUUAAUGGAGGUCGCAGCCAGCGUCGCGUCCUCACGUUGCGUUUCUCUUCUGAUGCCUUCUUUACAGUUUUCCCGGAAAGAGUGGUGCGCUGUUUCUGAACAUCCUGUUCGAAACUCUGGCGACGAGGUAAUCCUUCACUCAACUUGCUUGCAUUGUUUCUUUUUUUCUCUUUAGUCUUAGAUGUUAGGUUGUUAUCUGUUUAUCUAUAUAUCUUGAGGUUUAAAUAAAAAGUUUGUGUUAUAUAGGAUUUGGAGCGAUUUAAGUUAGGGCGAUUGGAUGAGAGAUUGACAUAUGAGGUAAUGCAUGUUCCUUGAGGUCUUUGGUCCAUCUCUCCAUCGAUCCACUCUCUGCACGUUUCUGUAAAUACCCAUCAUCGCCGAAAUUUCCAUUGCCACUGAAAUUACCCUAUGGCUACUGCAACUGAUAGUCGCUACUUUGAAUAACUUCCUUAAUUUCUCAAAUUUGGGAACCGCU
RNAcentral lists this long non-coding RNA (2103 nucleotides) under Panax ginseng (ginseng). Its description in RNAcentral is "long non-coding RNA (PGIN_LNC001223)". The record is from RNAcentral. Lineage: Eukaryota; Viridiplantae; Streptophyta; Magnoliopsida; Apiales; Araliaceae.